UGGGGAAUAUUGGACAAUGGGCGAAAGCCUGAUCCAGCCAUGCCGCGUGUGUGAAGAAGGUCUUCGGAUUGUAAAGCACUUUAAGUUGGGAGGAAGGGCAGUAAGCGAAUACCUUGCUGUUUUGACGUUACCGACAGAAUAAGCACCGGCUAACUCUGUGCCAGCAGCCGCGGUAAUACAGAGGGUGCAAGCGUUAAUCGGAAUUACUGGGCGUAAAGCGCGCGUAGGUGGUUCGUUAAGUUGAAUGUGAAAGCCCCGGGCUCAACCUGGGAAAUGCAUCCAAAACUGGCGAGCUAGAGUAGGGCAGAGGGUGGUGGAAUUUCCUGUGUAGCGGUGAAAUGCGUAGAUAUAGGAAGGAACACCAGUGGCGAAGGCGACCACCUGGGCUCAUACUGACACUGAGGUGCGAAAGCGUGGGGAGCAAACAGG
RNAcentral lists this ribosomal RNA (429 nucleotides) under Pseudomonadota bacterium. RNAcentral describes it as "Proteobacteria bacterium partial 16S ribosomal RNA". It matches the Rfam family "Bacterial small subunit ribosomal RNA", at positions 355 to 776 of the family's 1533-position model. The record is from RNAcentral. Lineage: Bacteria; Pseudomonadati; Pseudomonadota.